UACGAGGGGUGCAAGCGUUGCUCGGAAUCACUGGGCGUAAAGCGCACGUAGGCGGACUCUUAAGUCGGUGGUGAAAUCCUGGAGCUCAACUCCAGAACUGCCUUCGAUACUGGGAGUCUCGAGUUCGGGAGAGGUGAGUGGAACUGCGAGUGUAGAGGUGAAAUUCGUAGAUAUUCGCAAGAACACCAGUGGCGAAGGCGGCUCACUGGCCCGAUACUGACGCUGAGGUGCGAAAGCGUGGGGAGCAAACAGG
RNAcentral lists this ribosomal RNA (253 nucleotides) under uncultured bacterium. RNAcentral's name for it is "partial 16S ribosomal RNA". It matches the Rfam family "Bacterial small subunit ribosomal RNA", at positions 524 to 776 of the family's 1533-position model. The record is from RNAcentral.